This 230-nucleotide unclassified non-coding RNA is filed under the name plant metagenome. Its description in RNAcentral is "partial contains small subunit ribosomal RNA, internal transcribed spacer 1, and 5.8S ribosomal RNA". The record is from RNAcentral.
UCCCCGUAGGUGAACCUGCGGAGGGAUCAUUACAGAGUUCUCGCCCUCACGGGUAGAUCUCCCGUCCACUGUUAUCGUUACUGUAGUUGCUUUGGCGGGCCACCGGGUCCCCGGCGGCCGGCGCCUAGCUGCGGGCGCGCGCCCGCCAGAGGCCUCCAAACUCUGAAUGAUAGUGUCGACUGAGUACUAUAGUAUAGUUAAAACUUUCAACAACGGAUCUCUUGGUUCUG